CCGACCCGUCACAUCACGAAAGUGGAUUGUACUAGAAGUCUGCAGGCUAACCGUAAGGAGGCAGCGGCCCAAGGUAUGAUUCAUGAGUUGGGUG
This 94-nucleotide ribosomal RNA is filed under the name uncultured bacterium. Its description in RNAcentral is "partial 16S ribosomal RNA". The record is from RNAcentral.